This 599-nucleotide ribosomal RNA is filed under the name Cicindela (Rivacindela) sp. JP-37. Its description in RNAcentral is "partial 16S ribosomal RNA". It matches the Rfam family "Bacterial large subunit ribosomal RNA", at positions 1859 to 2739 of the family's 2925-position model. The record is from RNAcentral. Lineage: Eukaryota; Metazoa; Arthropoda; Insecta; Coleoptera; Carabidae.
CUGCCCAAUGAGGAUUUAAAUGGCCGCAGUAUUUUGACUGUGCAAAGGUAGCAUAAUUAUUAGUUUUUUAAUUGAAAGCUUGUAUGAAGGGUUGGACGAGAUGAAAUCUGUCUUUAUUUAAAUUAAAAUAUAAUUUAACUUUUAAGUAAAAAGGCUUAAAUGUUUAUAAAAGACGAGAAGACCCUAUAGAUCUUUAUUUAAUUAAAAUUUUAAUAAUUUAGGAUUAUUUUAAUUUAAAGUUUUAAUUAAAUUWUAUUGGGGUAAUAUAAAGAUUAAAUAAAUUCUUUUUAUUUAUAACAUUGAUUUAUGAAUAUAUGAUCCAUUAAUAUUGAUUAUAAGAUUAAGUUACCUUAGGGAUAACAGCGUAAUUUUUUUGGAGAGCUCAUAUCGAUAAAAAAGUUUGCGACCUCGAUGUUGGAUUAAAAAUUAGCUUGGGUGCAGAAGCUCAAGAUUUUGGUCUGUUCGACCAUUAAAUUUUUACAUGAUCUGAGUUCAGACCGGCGUGAGCCAGGUCGGUUUCUAUCUUUAUUAAGAUAAAAUGUUUUAGUACGAAAGGACCAAAUAUUUAAUAUAAUUAUAUUUAUUUUUUGAAGAAUAUU